Molecule: ribosomal RNA, 724 nt
Filed under: uncultured Pseudomonadota bacterium
Lineage: Bacteria; Pseudomonadati; Pseudomonadota
Description: bacterial SSU rRNA
Rfam family: Bacterial small subunit ribosomal RNA
Source: RNAcentral
AUUGAACGCUGGCGGCAGGCCUAACACAUGCAAGUCGAACGGUAACAGGAAGAAGCUUGCUUCUUUGCUGACGAGUGGCGGACGGGUGAGUAAUGUCUGGGAAACUGCCUGAUGGAGGGGGAUAACUACUGGAAACGGUAGCUAAUACCGCAUAACGUCGCAAGACCAAAGAGGGGGACCUUCGGGCCUCUUGCCAUCGGAUGUGCCCAGAUGGGAUUAGCUAGUAGGUGGGGUAACGGCUCACCUAGGCGACGAUCCCUAGCUGGUCUGAGAGGAUGACCAGCCACACUGGAACUGAGACACGGUCCAGACUCCUACGGGAGGCAGCAGUGGGGAAUAUUGCACAAUGGGCGCAAGCCUGAUGCAGCCAUGCCGCGUGUAUGAAGAAGGCCUUCGGGUUGUAAAGUACUUUCAGCGGGGAGGAAGGGAGUAAAGUUAAUACCUUUGCUCAUUGACGUUACCCGCAGAAGAAGCACCGGCUAACUCCGUGCCAGCAGCCGCGGUAAUACGGAGGGUGCAAGCGUUAAUCGGAAUUACUGGGCGUAAAGCGCACGCAGGCGGUUUGUUAAGUCAGAUGUGAAAUCCCCGGGCUCAACCUGGGAACUGCAUCUGAUACUGGCAAGCUUGAGUCUCGUAGAGGGGGGUAGAAUUCCAGGUGUAGCGGUGAAAUGCGUAGAGAUCUGGAGGAAUACCGGUGGCGAAGGCGGCCCCCUGGACGAAGACU